UACAUGUGGGGCAAGCGUUGUUCGGAAUUACUGGGCAUAAAGGGUGCGUAGGCGGCUUGUUAAGUCAGGGGUGAAAGUUUUCGGCCCAACCGGAAAAUGGCCUUUGAUACUGGCGAGCUUGAGUGCGUGAGGGGUAACCGGAACGAGUCGUGUAGCGGUGAAAUGCGUAGAUAUCUGGAGGAACACCGGUGGCGAAGGCGGCAUCCUGGACCAUUACUGACACUGAGAAGCGAAAGCCAGGGGAGCAAACGGG
RNAcentral lists this ribosomal RNA (253 nucleotides) under uncultured bacterium. RNAcentral's name for it is "partial 16S ribosomal RNA". It matches the Rfam family "Bacterial small subunit ribosomal RNA", at positions 524 to 776 of the family's 1533-position model. The record is from RNAcentral.